UGGUGAAUUUUGGACAAUGGGGGCAAACCUGAUCCAGCCAUUCCGCGUGAGUGAAGAAGGCCUUCGGGUUGUAAAGCUCUUUCAGCUGGAACGAAACGGUGCGCUCUAACAUAGCGUGCUAAUGACGGUACCAGCAGAAGAAGCACCGGCUAACUACGUGCCAGCAGCCGCGGUAAUACGUAGGGUGCGAGCGUUAAUCGGAAUUACCGGGCGUAAAGCGUGCGCAGGCGGAUUGUUAAGCAAGAUGUGAAAUCCCCGGGCUUAACCUGGGAAUGGCAUUUUGAACUGGCAGUCUAGAGUGCGUCAGAGGGGGGUGGAAUUCCACGUGUAGCAGUGAAAUGCGUAGAGAUGUGGAGGAACACCAAUGGCGAAGGCAGCCCCCUGGGAUGACACUGACGCUCAUGUACGAAAGCGGGGGUAGCAAAAA
This 427-nucleotide ribosomal RNA is filed under the name uncultured bacterium. Its description in RNAcentral is "bacterial SSU rRNA". It matches the Rfam family "Bacterial small subunit ribosomal RNA", at positions 355 to 774 of the family's 1533-position model. The record is from RNAcentral.